UCGGGAAUUUUGGGCAAUGGGCGAAAGCCUGACCCAGCAACGCCGCGUGAGGGAUGAAGUAUUUCGGUAUGUAAACCUCGAAAGAAUGGGAAGAAUAAAUGACGGUACCAUUUAUAAGCUCCGGCUAACUACGUGCCAGCAGCCGCGGUAAUACGUAGGGAGCAAGCGUUGUUCGGAUUUACUGGGCGUAAAGGGCGCGUAGGCGGCGCGGUAAGUCACUUGUGAAAUCUCUGAGCUUAACUCAGAACGGCCAAGUGAUACUGCUGUGCUAGAGUGCGGAAGAGGCAACCGGAAUUCUUGGUGUAGCGGUGAGAUGCGUAGAUAUCAAGAGGAACACCUGAGGCGAAGGCGGGUUGCUGGGCCGACACUGACGCUGAUGCGCGAAAGCCAGGGGAGCAAACG
This 402-nucleotide ribosomal RNA is filed under the name uncultured bacterium. RNAcentral describes it as "bacterial SSU rRNA". It matches the Rfam family "Bacterial small subunit ribosomal RNA", at positions 355 to 774 of the family's 1533-position model. The record is from RNAcentral.